CUUGCUCUGUGGGAUCAGUGGCGAACGGGUGAGUAACACGUGAGCAACCUGCCCCUGACUCUGGGAUAAGCGCUGGAAACGGCGUCUAAUACUGGAUAUGUGACGUGACCGCAUGGUCUGCGUCUGGAAAGAAUUUCGGUUGGGGAUGGGCUCGCGGCCUAUCAGCUUGUUGGUGAGGUAAUGGCUCACCAAGGCGUCGACGGGUAGCCGGCCUGAGAGGGUGACCGGCCACACUGGGACUGAGACACGGCCCAGACUCCUACGGGAGGCAGCAGUGGGGAAUAUUGCACAAUGGGCGCAAGCCUGAUGCAGCAACGCCGCGUGAGGGACGACGGCCUUCGGGUUGUAAACCUCUUUUAGCAGGGAAGAAGCGAAAGUGACGGUACCUGCAGAAAAAGCGCCGGCUAACUACGUGCCAGCAGCCGCGGUAAUACGUAGGGCGCAAGCGUUAUCCGGAAUUAUUGGGCGUAAAGAGCUCGUAGGCGGUUUGUCGCGUCUGCUGUGAAAUCCGGAGGCUCAACCUCCGGCCUGCAGUGGGUACGGGCAGACUAGAGUGCGGUAGGGGAGAUUGGAAUUCCUGGUGUAGCGGUGGAAUGCGCAGAUAUCAGGAGGAACACCGAUGGCGAAGGCAGAUCUCUGGGCCGUAACUGACGCUGAGGAGCGAAAGGGUGGGGAGCAAACAGGCUUAGAUACCCUGGUAGUCCACCCCGUAAACGUUGGGAACUAGUUGUG
This 732-nucleotide ribosomal RNA is filed under the name Microbacterium sp. BAL325. Its description in RNAcentral is "bacterial SSU rRNA". It matches the Rfam family "Bacterial small subunit ribosomal RNA", at positions 79 to 824 of the family's 1533-position model. Lineage: Bacteria; Bacillati; Actinomycetota; Actinomycetes; Micrococcales; Microbacteriaceae. The record is from RNAcentral.